GUGGGGAAUAUUGGACAAUGGGCGAAAGCCUGAUCCAGCCAUGCCGCGUGUGUGAAGAAGGUCUUCGGAUUGUAAAGCACUUUAAGUUGGGAGGAAGGGCAGUAAGUUAAUACCUUGCUGUUUUGACGUUACCGACAGAAUAAGCACCGGCUAACUUCGUGCCAGCAGCCGCGGUAAUACGAAGGGUGCAAGCGUUAAUCGGAAUUACUGGGCGUAAAGCGCGCGUAGGUGGUUUUGUAAGUUGGAGGUGAAAUCCCCGGGCUCAACCUGGGAACUGCCUCCAAAACUGCAUGACUAGAGUACGGUAGAGGGUAGUGGAAGUUCCUGUGUAGCGGUGAAAUGCGUAGAUAUAGGAAGGAACACCAGUGGCGAAGGCGACUACCUGGACUGAUACUAACACUGAGGUGCGAAAGCGUGGGGAGCAAACAGGAUUAGAUACCCCGGUAGUCC
This 450-nucleotide ribosomal RNA is filed under the name uncultured bacterium. RNAcentral describes it as "partial 16S ribosomal RNA". It matches the Rfam family "Bacterial small subunit ribosomal RNA", at positions 354 to 796 of the family's 1533-position model. The record is from RNAcentral.